Molecule: ribosomal RNA, 499 nt
Filed under: uncultured Glomus
Lineage: Eukaryota; Fungi; Glomeromycota; Glomeromycetes; Glomerales; Glomeraceae
Description: SSU rRNA
Rfam family: Eukaryotic small subunit ribosomal RNA
Source: RNAcentral
CCAAUAGCGUAUAUUAAAGUUGCUGCAGUUAAAAAGCUCGUAGUUGAAUUUCGGGACCAUCAUGUCGGUCGUGCCUCGGUACGUACUGGCAUUGUUGGUUUCUACCUUCUGACGAACCAUGAUGUCAUUUAUUUGGUGUCGUGGGAAAUCAGGACUGUUACUUUGAAAAAAUUAGAGUGUUUAAAGCAGGCUCACGCUUGAAUACAUUAGCAUGGAAUAAUGAAAUAGGACGUUUGAUUCUAUUUUGUUGGUUUCUAGGAUCGACGUAAUGAUUAAUAGGGAUAGUUGGGGGCAUUAGUAUUCAAUUGUCAGAGGUGAAAUUCUUGGAUUUAGUGAAGACUAACGACUGCGAAAGCAUUUGCCAAGGAUGUUUUCAUUAAUCAAGAACGAAAGUUAGGGGAUCGAAGACGAUCAGAUACCGUCGUAGUCUUAACCAUAAACUAUGCCGACUAGGGAUCGGAUGAUGUUAAUUUUUUAAUGACUCAUUCGGCGCCUUACG